UGGGGGAUAGCCCGGCGAAAGCCGGAUUAAUACCGCAUACGCUCUACGGAGGAAAGGGGGGGAUCUUAGGACCUCCCGCUACAGGGGCGGCCGAUGGCAGAUUAGCUAGUUGGUGGGGUAAAGGCCUACCAAGGCGACGAUCUGUAGCUGGUCUGAGAGGACGACCAGCCACACUGGGACUGAGACACGGCCCAGACUCCUACGGGAGGCAGCAGUGGGGAAUUUUGGACAAUGGGCGAAAGCCUGAUCCAGCAAUGCCGCGUGUGUGAAGAAGGCCUUCGGGUUGUAAAGCACUUUUGUCCGGAAAGAAAACCUCUCGCCCUAAUAUGGUGGGGGGAUGACGGUACCGGAAGAAUAAGCACCGGCUAACUACGUGCCAGCAGCCGCGGUAAUACGUAGGGUGCAAGCGUUAAUCGGAAUUACUGGGCGUAAAGCGUGCGCAGGCGGUCCGCUAAGACAGAUGUGAAAUCCCCGGGCUUAACCUGGGAACUGCAUUUGUGACUGGCGGGCUAGAGUAUGGCAGAGGGGGGUAGAAUUCCACGUGUAGCAGUGAAAUGCGUA
This 561-nucleotide ribosomal RNA is filed under the name Burkholderia sp. R3-7. RNAcentral's name for it is "bacterial SSU rRNA". It matches the Rfam family "Bacterial small subunit ribosomal RNA", at positions 137 to 692 of the family's 1533-position model. The record is from RNAcentral. Lineage: Bacteria; Pseudomonadati; Pseudomonadota; Betaproteobacteria; Burkholderiales; Burkholderiaceae.